This 67-nucleotide microRNA precursor is filed under the name Bombyx mori (domestic silkworm). RNAcentral's name for it is "mir-2774 microRNA precursor family". It matches the Rfam family "mir-2774 microRNA precursor family". The record is from Rfam by way of RNAcentral. Lineage: Eukaryota; Metazoa; Arthropoda; Insecta; Lepidoptera; Bombycidae.
AAAACAUUCGGACCGUCGGUCUACCGAGCAAUUUCGCCAGCUCGAUGGAAGAUCUUUCCUUUGUCGU